UCCGGAGGGUGCAAGCGUUAAUCGGAAUUACUGGGCGUAAAGCGCACGCAGGUGGCUGAGUCAGUCGAUUGUGAAAGCCCGGGGCUCAACCCCGGAAUUGCCUUUAAGACUGCAUCGCUUGAAUCCGGGAGAGGUGAGUGGAAUUCCGAGUGUAGAGGUGAAAUUCGUAGAUAUUCGCGAGAACACCAGUGGCGAAGGCGGCUCACUGGCCCGGUACUGACGCUGAGGUGCGAAAGCGUGGGGAGCAAACAGG
This 253-nucleotide ribosomal RNA is filed under the name uncultured bacterium. Its description in RNAcentral is "partial 16S ribosomal RNA". It matches the Rfam family "Bacterial small subunit ribosomal RNA", at positions 524 to 776 of the family's 1533-position model. The record is from RNAcentral.